GACGAACGCUGGCGGCGUGCUUAACACAUGCAGGUCGAACGGAAAGGCCCUGCUUUUGUGGGAUGCUCGAGUGGCGAACGGGUGAGUAACACGUGAGUAACCUGCCCUUGACUUUGGGAUAACUUCAGGAAACUGGGGCUAAUACCGGAUAGGAGCUCCUGCUGCAUGGUGGGGGUUGGAAAGUUUCGGCGGUUGGGGAUGGACUCGCGGCUUAUCAGCUUGUUGGUGGGGUAGUGGCUUACCAAGGCUUUGACGGGUAGCCGGCCUGAGAGGGUGACCGGCCACAUUGGGACUGAGAUACGGCCCAGACUCCUACGGGAGGCAGCAGUGGGGAAUAUUGCACAAUGGGCGGAAGCCUGAUGCAGCAACGCCGCGUGCGGGAUGACGGCCUUCGGGUUGUAAACCGCUUUCGCCUGUGACGAAGCGUGAGUGACGGUAAUGGGUAAAGAAGCACCGGCUAACUACGUG
Molecule: ribosomal RNA, 468 nt
Filed under: uncultured bacterium
Lineage: Bacteria
Description: partial 16S ribosomal RNA
Rfam family: Bacterial small subunit ribosomal RNA
Source: RNAcentral